GAUGAACGCUGGCGGCGUGCCUAAUACAUGCAAGUCGAGCGAACAGACGAGGAGCUUGCUCCUCUGACGUUAGCGGCGGACGGGUGAGUAACACGUGGAUAACCUACCUAUAAGACUGGGAUAACUUCGGGAAACCGGAGCUAAUACCGGAUAAUCUAUUUAACCGCAUGGUUCAAUAGUGAAAGACGGUUUUGCUGUCACUUAUAGAUGUAUCCGCGCCGCAUUAGCUAGUUGGUAAGGUAACGGCUUACCAAGGCAACGAUGCGUAGCCGACCUGAGAGGGUGAUCGGCCACACUGGAACUGAGACACGGUCCAGACUCCUACGGGAGGCAGCAGUAGGGAAUCUUCCGCAAUGGGCGAAAGCCUGACGGAGCAACGCCGCGUGAGUGAUGAAGGUCUUCGGAUCGUAAAACUCUGUUAUUAGGGAAGAACAAAUGUGUAAGUAACUAUGCACGUCUUGACGGUACCUAAUCAGAAAGCCACGGCUAACUACGUG
This 497-nucleotide ribosomal RNA is filed under the name uncultured bacterium. RNAcentral describes it as "partial 16S ribosomal RNA". It matches the Rfam family "Bacterial small subunit ribosomal RNA", at positions 28 to 507 of the family's 1533-position model. The record is from RNAcentral.